This 447-nucleotide ribosomal RNA is filed under the name uncultured bacterium. RNAcentral describes it as "partial 16S ribosomal RNA". It matches the Rfam family "Bacterial small subunit ribosomal RNA", at positions 28 to 523 of the family's 1533-position model. The record is from RNAcentral.
GACGAACGCUGGCGGCAGGCUUAACACAUGCAAGUCGAACGCCCCGCAAGGGGAGUGGCAGACGGGUGAGUAACACGUGGGAACCUUCCUAGGGGUACGGAACAACUCAGGGAAACUUGAGCUAAUACCGUAUACGUCCGUGAGGAGAAAGAUUUAUCGCCCUUAGACGGGCCCGCGUCGGAUUAGCUAGUUGGUGGGGUAACGGCCUACCAAGGCGACGAUCCGUAGCUGAUCUUAGAGGAUGAUCAGCCACACUGGGACUGAGACACGGCCCAGACUCCUACGGGAGGCAGCAGUGGGGAAUCUUGGACAAUGGGCGCAAGCCUGAUCCAGCCAUGCCGCGUGAGUGAAGAAGGUCUUCGGAUUGUAAAGCUCUUUUGCCAGGGACGAUAAUGACGGUACCUGGAGAAUAAGCCCCGGCAAACUUCGUGCCAGCCGCCGCCGUAA